RNAcentral lists this small nucleolar RNA (70 nucleotides) under Erinaceus europaeus (western European hedgehog). RNAcentral's name for it is "Small nucleolar RNA SNORD25 (ENSEEUG00000017782.1)". Lineage: Eukaryota; Metazoa; Chordata; Mammalia; Eulipotyphla; Erinaceidae. The record is from RNAcentral.
AUUCUCUGUGAUGAGAAUCUUAUCAUAGACUUGUAUCGAGAUCCAUGAGGAUAAAACACUCUGAGGAGAC